RNAcentral lists this long non-coding RNA (421 nucleotides) under Homo sapiens (human). Its description in RNAcentral is "non-protein coding lnc-SALL1-1:1". The record is from RNAcentral. Lineage: Eukaryota; Metazoa; Chordata; Mammalia; Primates; Hominidae.
GAAGAGUACAGGCCCAUCAGAGGAUACCACUGAAUCCAUGCUCCACAGCAGUUCCCAGCAAGCUGCACUCUUCGAAGGCGGGAUGCUGAAACCUCUGCCCCCACCCCCUACAUUAGCUUUAUAUCCAAAUGUGACUCGGAGGCUGGUGAGCUCAAGGUGAUCAAUGACAGCUCCAAUCAAAGCCACCCAGUAGACAGUGCACUCACCACUCCUUGAUAUAAAAGGUGUUUUAUUUCUCAUCCUUUUAUUUUUGUCACUGAAAGAAUGCUUCCCAUGUGUGGAUUAAUUAAAGUGUAAACAUUAAAUAUUGAUUGAUGCAUUAUCAGCAUGGAGCAGUGGCCUCCUGUCUGAUUGAUUCCUGCAGUGAUUUAUUGUCAUAUUUGGGGAGUCAUUUCAUUUGAUAACCAAGAGGGAUCGCCUG